Long non-coding RNA from Parus major (Great Tit), 1718 nucleotides. The record is from Ensembl. Lineage: Eukaryota; Metazoa; Chordata; Aves; Passeriformes; Paridae.
CCGCUCCCGCCCUUUCCCUUCCCUUCCCUCGGCUCCUUCCCCUUCCCUCCGCUCCUUUCCUCCAGGCCGAGCCCCUUUCCCAGCUCCCUCAGCCCCUCCUGGCGCUCCGGGGCACGGGGAAGAAGCUUUUUUGCUCCAGCAGAGAUUUUCCUUCUCCCUCUGGGCUGUUGUGGCCUGGGGUCCGUCAGGGGUGGAUCCAGGACAAGCCCCAGGCUGUGCUGGCACGCCCGGCCUUGGUUUGGCGUUUAACCCAAACUCCUGAGGCGCUGGGAUGGCACCACCGGGAUUUUGGGUCCACGGGAGCUUCGGAACCAUCGACUCACCCCUGUUUUAAGGCGAAUCUCCGCAGCUCCAGGGCUGUGCCAGCGUUUGGGAGAACGAGAGUAGCCCGGGCUCGGUGCUGGACCCUGCUGCUUGACAAGGCGAAGUUUGGUCAAAGGCUGCACUCGAUGAUCUCCGAGGUUUUUCCGAUCCCAGCGAUCCCGGGAUUCCUCAGGGCUCUCUGCCAUCCUGCUCCUGUCCAGCGAGGCCAAAUUCUCACCGUGACACAACAGCAGCCUAAGCAGGGUAAAUUCUUUUUAUUUAGGCUUUUAUUUCCCCUCCUUUCCCCUCAUUACCGCGCCCAGAAAAACAAACGGAUCCGUGGUGUCUGCACCGGGAGAAUCCCACGGGGAGCCCCGAAUCUCCCGUGGGGAGCGAGGUGGGUUCUUGUUAGGCUCUGGAAAGAGGCUGGAAUGGAAAUGUGUGUUCUUGCUGCAACACGCCUAAUUGCCCAUAAAUGUCAUUAAGUCGAGAAAUGUUUUCCACCAAAUUAACUUUGGCUGGCGGUGUCUAAUUAGCCGGAGAUGCUGAAAGAUAACAACUUAUCAGUCACUGGUUAACAAACCAUCCUUAAUGGGGCCUUUUUUCGGGAGCCAGGUACCGCAGCUGUCACAGCUCGGCCUUCCCGGGGCAAUUAAGGACAAAACCCCGGUGCAGCUUCCCACCAGGAUAAUUUGACAGCUCGUUCACAGGCCAGGAGUGCGGCUGAGCCCAAACUUUCCGGCCAUUGCUUUUGCGUUGGGCAGGAGCAACGAUGAAUUUUGCUUUUCUCUUUUUAUGUUCCUUCCCCUGCGUGUGCAAACCUGCAAAAAUGCUCCUCUCCCUCUCCCUCUUCCUCUCCCUCUCCCCUCUUUUCCACCACAGUUUUCCAGCUCCAAAGGAGAGGAAUCAGCAGGGAAGGGAUGGUUAAAUCCUUGUGUUUUCCUGUUUAGAUCCGGGGAUAUUCAGCUCUCCUCAGGACAGGAAUCUGAGGAAAGGGUGAUUAAAUCCCUUUAAAACCCUCGUGUUUAGCUGUUUCUGUCUGUAGCCAAGGAAAUGUUUUUCCUCUUUCCCAGAAGGAAGUUUUCCCUUGAGGAAGUGGGAGGGGAUGGCACCGAGGGAGCUCCUGGUUGUUUUUCACAAGGUUCUGCUGCAAAAUUGAACCUGAUCAGGAGAAAUUCUCACCAAGCUCCCAGAACUGCUCUGUCUGAUGAAAUCUCCCAUCAGAGCUCUUGGACUCCCCUCUGCUGAGUUUAUUUCACACUGUCCUUGCACACAGAUGUUUAUUCCAACUCUUCACAUGAUGCAAACCCCCUCCCAUUCCUGCUUUUUCUGCCAAAUACCUUCCAAACUUCCUGGCUCCUUGCUCAGCCCUGCUGUAAAUCAGCACAGCCAAUAAAUUCAUAAUUGCUUGUGCA